This is a long non-coding RNA of Apis florea (little honeybee), 1396 nucleotides long. Lineage: Eukaryota; Metazoa; Arthropoda; Insecta; Hymenoptera; Apidae. The record is from RefSeq and is a predicted model, not a curated record.
UAUUUUUAAAAGGUUAUCAUUUUUAUCGUUCGCUCGAAUUCACGAGAUUACGAAAAAUCGUAGUUCCAAGAGUCGAAAAGGGAGAUAGGAUCCUCGAGACUGUCUAUUUUCUAUUUUUCGCAAAAAUAUAAGAUACGUACGAAUUUUAAUAACACGAUGAUGUAAACACAAUUAAAAACAAUUGUACAAAUUUUUAGCACAAAAAGAAAGAGAAAGCAAAAUAUGCGAAACCCUGCCGAUUAAAUUCGUCGCAAGAGAAAAAAAAAGAAAAAGACGAAAAUCCUCCCGCAUUCUCCCCAUCCCACCCAUCGUUCCUACGCGUAAUUAAUUCGUAAUUAAUUUCUCAUCAAGUAUUCCGCAUCAAGUGUUGGAGAAUCGCAUGGAAAUCGACUAAUAAUUACAUCGGCGAUACGAGGCGCUUUCGUUAACGUUGUUUUCCACCUAACUGCAUUCCAAACCACACCUCGACACACACGUCGAUUUACACCGUCGAGCCAUUCCAUCUUACGUGUACAUUAUGCAUAGAGAGUGUCCUCUUCUCUACUACUGUUGGCUCGUGUUUUUCUUUUUCUUUUUCUUUUUUUUUUUUUUUUUUUUAAAGAAAUUCAACGUAACGGUAAUCGACUCGCGGCAUUUCAACGACUCGACGUGCCAAAGAGGUUUUCUCUCUCUUUCCUCUUCUUUUUUUUCUUUCCUUCUUCUUUUUUUCAGAAAAGAACGCGGGAGAGAGUUCAUUUGGAACGAACCAGUUUCUCGCUGAAUCCAUUCUUGCUUAUCUAAAACUCUUUCGCGGCUGUAAACGAGACGAGUUGAAAGGGUCGUUGGGAGAGGAAGAGAGAGAGAGAGAGAGAGAAGAGUGUCAGUGGAGGGGAUCGAGAAGGAUAAAACAAGCGAGGAUAUUUGGAGGUUGGAGAAGGAAAUAAUUAAUCGAUUAAGAAGAGAGGAAAAGAUUGUGCGAAUGGAACGAAAAUUUCGCUCUAAGGGGAAAGAUUUGAAUGGAGAUCAGGACGAGUCGAAAAGUCUCGUAAUAUCGGCAACGGUCUGCCCGGGAGUUUCCUCGAGCUCCUGGAUCUGAUGAUGAUGGCCCGUUUCGUGUCCAUGCCCGAGUUUCCCAUCGAGGGACGUCGGCGAGGUGUCUGCAUCUACUUGCGGACUAUCAAAUUUACCAUUUUUUACAACUCUCGAUCGCGACGAGCAAAGAGAAGGGAAAGGGAGCAUUGGGUGUUUCACCAGUUGGCAAUAAAAAUAAGAAAUAAAGUAAACGUGGUGGACGUAAUCGGGUGAAAGUUGUUAUUCGAUACAUAUUCAGGGGCAUAAAGGAAUUUUCUGCGCGAUAUAAACGCCCGUAAAACGUCAUAAAUCGCAUCGAAUUGGCCAAGCGAUACGAUAUCCCUUU